UCCGCCUUGCACGACCCUCAUCCCCAUCACGUUGGUCGUUACCACUUGGGGUUUUCCUGGUUUCACUUGAGUGAUCUCCCGAAGCGGAUUCUCCACUUCGCUGGUGGACGUCGUUCCAGUUCUGAUGGGUCUUCUGGCUGGUUGUUAGGUCACCGCCAGCUCUUCAAGGACCGUGGAGGUGAGGUUUCGCCUUUCCUGACUAGAGCUCAACGAUUCCAUCCCGCUCCUGGCCACCUUUGGCGUCCUUCGGCUUGUAAUGCAUCACCCCCACAGCUGCCUCCAGCCUCGCACGGCACUCGCCCUGCAGGUGUCUGUCCCAGGAUCGCCCUUUAGCUGAGGACACCGGUCGUUCCGGACGGAAGCCCAUUCUGAGGACCUCAUUUUAACUUGAUGACCGCAGCAACGACCCUCCCUCCAAAUAAGGUCACGUUCUGAGGUGCUGGGGGUUAGCCCUUCAGCAUGAAUAUGGCUUUGGGGGAGACACAGUUUAAUCUGGAGCAGUCAGCCUGACAUCGAGGCACAGAUUUUCCUCCGAAUCUAAAACUGCGCCACUGGCCUUAACCUUCUGAUCCCCAGCCACUCAGCCUUUGGUUCUACUUGUAUCAUUAAAGAUAGGUUUGUCAUUGUUUUUUC
This is a long non-coding RNA of Herpailurus yagouaroundi (jaguarundi), 633 nucleotides long. RefSeq lists it as uncharacterized. The record is from RefSeq and is a predicted model, not a curated record. Lineage: Eukaryota; Metazoa; Chordata; Mammalia; Carnivora; Felidae. The transcript has 3 exons.